GGGCCGUUAGCUCAGUGGUAGAGCACCUGACUUUUAAUCAGGGUGUCACAGGUUCGAUACCUGUACGGCCUACCA
Molecule: transfer RNA, 75 nt
Filed under: Bacillota bacterium
Lineage: Bacteria; Bacillati; Bacillota
Description: tRNA-Lys
Rfam family: tRNA
About the family: Transfer RNA (tRNA) molecules are approximately 80 nucleotides in length. Their secondary structure includes four short double-helical elements and three loops (D, anti-codon, and T loops). Further hydrogen bonds mediate the characteristic L-shaped molecular structure. tRNAs have two regions of fundamental functional importance: the anti-codon, which is responsible for specific mRNA codon recognition, and the 3' end, to which the tRNAs corresponding amino acid is attached (by aminoacyl-tRNA synthetases). tRNAs cope with the degeneracy of the genetic code in two manners: having more than one tRNA (with a specific anti-codon) for a particular amino acid; and 'wobble' base-pairing, i.e. permitting non-standard base-pairing at the 3rd anti-codon position.
Source: RNAcentral